This 343-nucleotide long non-coding RNA is filed under the name Elaeis guineensis (African oil palm). Its description in RNAcentral is "long non-coding RNA (EGUI_LNC000330)". Lineage: Eukaryota; Viridiplantae; Streptophyta; Magnoliopsida; Arecales; Arecaceae. The record is from RNAcentral.
CUUAAGCAGAAGACCCGAGUCGCCGCGUGAGGCACAAUGUAGCGAUCCAACAGAGCAUUGCGCACCCAAAUUCGGCCUGGUGUGCUACCAGCGGCCUCUUAAUUUUGUAUGACGAGUGUUCGAGACGCGGACUGGUUUGCACUACCAAGUCUAUCAGAAAUUUUGGUCGACACUGGCCUCUUAAUUUUGUAUGACGAGUCUUUGAGACGCGGACUGGUUUGCACUACCAAGUCUAUCAGAAAUUUUGGUCGACAGUGGCUUGGUCAAUAGCGUCGUACUUUAGAGUUUCUUCUGGAACGGAUACCCAGUCGGGAGGACAUAGUCAUGCACGAUGACAAUAGAG